UGUAAUUUUUAUAUAUUUAAUUCUUACAUAUUUUGAUAAUAACAACUAAUGAACAACCGACAACAACAAUUAUUAAUCACUCGACUAAACUUGCGUCCUUUAGAAGUUUUUAUUACCUAUUCACUAUAAAUCUAUAGUCUUAUCUGUUUAUAAAUAGAAGAGGGGAGAGAGAGAGAGGGAGAAAAGAUGUUAUCAAUUCUAUUUGUUACGACCUUCGUCGUUUACCUUAAAGGUAGAUGCGUAUAUUCCAGUUCAGUUUCAGAUCAGCCUCCGUACCGUCGACGUAAUUUAUAUUAAAGGAGUUAUCUCGCGUUCGAUAAAUUCGCAGAGGCGUUGUCUAAGCAGAAUUCGAUGUAAGAAAAUCGAAGUUCUCUUUCGUUAUCGAAUAAUUUAUUAUCAAGGGGUGAAGAACGAAGAGGUCACAGAGAGGAGCAAAUGGUGGAACGAAAGUGCAAAUUACAACUACGUAUUUCUAGAUUCGUUCGGUAUUCGUUCUUCCGUACGGGAAAAAGAUACCGGCUGAUUCCCGCUGGCUCGAUGGCACGGAAAAUGCAGGAAAUUGCACUCGCGGCGAAACGAGAAGCGUAAUUUAGAACAGACUGCUGCAACCUAGACUUUCUCCACUAGUGCGCUACCCUCUAAAAUGUUCCAUCUUUCUCUCUCUUACACACUCUUCUUUGGAUAGGCUCACGUUUCGAACUUGAGUCGAGUACUCGACUACGCCUACGAAUACGGAAGAGGAAGAGAAAGAGAAAGAGAAAGAGAGACAGAAGAUGUCACCAGUGCUAGCAGCUCUUGUAGUUUUUGUAGGCGGACCCGAUCUUUGUGGAUCUUGUCGUGGCCUGCAAUAGAUGAUUUUCCGGAAAGCUUUUCGGAAAUUAUCGCUGAGAAAAGCGUAAAGGAUGGGGUUGACGCAGCUAUUGGUAUACGCCAAGAUAUGACUCGCUAUCUGGACCAUAAUCGUCGCUGACUUUAAAGGAUAUGCCUCUAAAGACUUCGUAACUAAUAUUACCUGUAAAAAUAAAUAGAUAAUUCUUUUUUUUUUUAAGUACCUAUACAUUCAUCAAAACAAUUUUCUGAGAUUAAAUGAUUACGAUAGUAGAGGUACGAACGAUAUUUAUCUACUCAAAAAGUGGAUAUACAUUACAUAGUACACCUAUAGUAUUAACUUAUUAAUUAAAUGUUUUUUCGUUUCAAUUAAUUCAUUAUACAGGAUUGGUUAAUCAAGAAUUACUAUGAUUGUUUCAGUUAAAUAAUUAAAUCUAUCAUGUUGAUGGAUAAAAUCGUCAUUGACCUAAUUUAUUUUGUAAAAAUAUUUAAGUCUUGAAAAGGUAAAAAAUAUUUAACUCACCUGGAUUGGACACCAACAUAUAGCGAAAACUCCUACAACGACGAGAACCAAACGAGUAACUCGUCUUCUCCCUCUUCGACUCUCGGCACUAACACGAGCACCACGCCAUAGUCUGACAAGCAUACAGACGUAAAAGACGCAUAUCAACGUCAAUGGCAGCAAGUAACUCGUUAGGAAGAAGGAUACCUGGAAAAAGGACCAAUCAUAUUGCGGUAGGAUCCGACAAGCCGUCGACGAGUUGUCCAAAUCCUGAAACGUAAAGUGAAUCUACAUACAUAAGGGAACGACUCUCGUGAGAGAAAAGAGGCUAUGAAUUAGGGAAGAUAAGAGACAUCGAAAGAUCAAAUUUUUUAACAAAUUUCAGUAAAUCAUUGAAUCGAAUA
This is a long non-coding RNA of Vespula pensylvanica (western yellowjacket), 1734 nucleotides long. RefSeq lists it as uncharacterized. NCBI's taxonomy places the organism in Eukaryota, Metazoa, Arthropoda, Insecta, Hymenoptera, Vespidae. The record is from RefSeq and is a predicted model, not a curated record. The transcript is spliced from 3 exons.